This 553-nucleotide ribosomal RNA is filed under the name uncultured bacterium. RNAcentral's name for it is "bacterial SSU rRNA". It matches the Rfam family "Bacterial small subunit ribosomal RNA", at positions 767 to 1319 of the family's 1533-position model. The record is from RNAcentral.
AGCUAAUAGAUACCCGGGUAGUCCCAGCCCUAAACGAUGAAUACUAGGUGUCGGGGGGUAUCGACCCCUCCGGUGCCGCCGCUAAACGCAGUAAAGUAUUCCGCCUGGGGAGUACGGCCGCAAGGUUGAAACUCAAAGGAAUUGACGGGGGCCCGCACAAGCGGUGGAGCAUGUUGUUUAAUACGUCAUUAACCGUAGAACCUUACCAGGGUUUGACAUCCGCUGCCAUCCUAUGAAAGUAGGCUUCCCCGCAAGGGGACAGCGAGACAGGUGUUGCAUGGCUGUCGUUAGCUCGUGUCGUGAGAUGUUGGGUUAAGUCCCGCAACGAGCGCAACCCUCAUCCCAUGUUGCCAUCGGGUAAAGCCGGGAACUCUUGGGAAACUGCCGGGGUAACUCGGAGGAAGGUGAGGAUGACGUCAAGUCAGCAUGGCCCUUACACCCUGGGCUACAAACAUGCUACAAUGGACGGUAAACAGAGGGACCCGAGACCGUGAGGUGGAGGCAAUCUCAGAAAUCCGUUCUCAGUUCGGAUUGCAGGCUGCAACUCGCCUGC